GUACCCAGAUUUCAGACAGCCUAUUCCCUGUUAGCCCCCUGACCCGCAGGAGUGGACAGCAGUGAAGAUGGAGUCUCUGCAAAAGAAUAUGUGAAAGAUUAAGUACAAGUGGAUUUGAUACUUCCAUGCCUUUGUACAUGAAAAGGGAUAAUACUAACAGCAGAUUAGAGAAUCAGGAAUGCUCAGAGAUGCUGAGUGAGUCCCAGUCAUCCUCUGCAGCUUUUUCCACAUCAAAAACAGGUACUCAGGAUGCCCUCUGUUGCAUGGUGGAUGGUUGCUCUUCAAACUGUUGUGUGAUUAGGAAUGUCAAUGCAGAGGGCAGAUAUGCUGAAAUCAGGAAAGAUAUCUAAGAAGACAUUUGAGAGCUCCUCUACUUGUGAAAUUUACUGCUUCCUCU
This 397-nucleotide long non-coding RNA is filed under the name Meleagris gallopavo (turkey). RNAcentral's name for it is "lncRNA (ENSMGAG00000021811.1)". Lineage: Eukaryota; Metazoa; Chordata; Aves; Galliformes; Phasianidae. The record is from RNAcentral.